GAUGAACGCUGGCGGCGUGCCUAACACAUGCAAGUCGAGCGAACAGACGCGGAGCUUGUUCCUCUGACGUUAGCGGCGGACGGGUGAGUAACACGUGGAUAACCUCCUUAUAAGACCGGGAUAAUAUCGGGAAACCGGUGUUAAUACUGCAUAAUAUAUUGAACCGCAUGGAUCAUUAGUGAAAGACGGUUUUGCUGUCACUUAUAGAUGGCUCCGCGCCGCAUUAGCUAGUUGGUAAGGUAACGGCUUACCAAGGCGACGCUGCGUAGCCGACCUGAGAGGAGGAUCGGCCACACUGGAACGGAGACACGGUCCAGACGCCUACGGGAGGCAGCAGUAGGGAAGCUUCCGCAAUGGGCGAAAGAUGGACGGAGCAACGCCGCGUGAGUGAUGAAGGUCUUCGGAUCGUAAAACUCUGUUAUUAGGGAAGAACAAAUGUGUAAGUAACUAUGCACGUCUUGACGGUACCUAAUCAGAAAGCCACGGCUAACUACGUG
Molecule: ribosomal RNA, 497 nt
Filed under: uncultured bacterium
Lineage: Bacteria
Description: partial 16S ribosomal RNA
Rfam family: Bacterial small subunit ribosomal RNA
Source: RNAcentral